Molecule: ribosomal RNA, 460 nt
Filed under: uncultured bacterium
Lineage: Bacteria
Description: partial 16S ribosomal RNA
Rfam family: Bacterial small subunit ribosomal RNA
Source: RNAcentral
CCUACGGGAGGCAGCAGUGAGGAAUAUUGGUCAAUGGACGAGAGUCUGAACCAGCCAAGUAGCGUGAAGGAUGACUGCCCUAUGGGUUGUAAACUUCUUUUAUAUGGGAAUAAAACAGGGUAUGCAUACCCUCUUGUAUGUACCAUAUGAAUAAGGAUCGGCUAACUCCGUGCCAGCAGCCGCGGUAAUACGGAGGAUCCGAGCGUUAUCCGGAUUGAUUGGGUUUAAAGGGAGCGUAGGUGGAUUGUUAAGUCAGUUGUGAAAGUUUGCGGCUCAACCGUAAAAUUGCAGUUGAAACUGGCAGUCUAGAGUACAGUAGAGGUGGGCAGAAUUCGUGGUGUAGCGGUGAAAUGCUUAGAUAUCACGAAGAACACCGAUAGCGAAGGCAGCUCACUGGACUGCAACUGACACUGAUGCUCGAAAGUGUGGGUAUCAAACAGGAUUAGAUACCCUGGUAGUC